AACGUUACCACAGAAGAUAAGGAUCAAAACCAGAUCCAUGGGUGAUAAGGCUAACAAAAUACCGAACCUCUGAGCUGAUGGGCGGGAGGCAGUCCUUGGAGAGAAAUGGCUGGCUAUGAUCAGAAGCGUGGUCAGUACUGCUGAAGUCAUAAGGCUUUAACCAGAAGCAUUUCCAUCUUGUGGCAGUCCUUUGUGACGGGUACCACUGCUCCAAGAACUCUUCUGUGUGUGGUGUAAAAAGCGGGGAAACCAGGAAUGGACCCUGGCUUGAAAGGUGUUGGAGGUAGUCACUGGAGCAACAUCACCCAAAAUUUGUGUCCAUUUGAAAUGCUCCGUGUUUGUAAUCGCUGAGCAAGAAUGAGCAGGUCUUGGCUGUUGGCAUCUCUUUCAUGGUAACUGAAGCACGCUGAGUAAGAAGCGUACCUGAAAGAAAAGAGGGAGUUUAAACAGAGCUGGAAGAUGGAGGCAAACAGAAAAAAAUAGAAGCGUCAAGUUUUUAAACAGAAAAUAAAGAAGCCUAUAACCUAAAAACCCGCAAGCCUGAAGUUUGCCAUUCAGUCACCAGACCGAAGGGAACACGUCCAUACAGCUCCAGCUCGUGCAGCGUAACAGUCCUAUUGUUCUUGGUUGACUUCUGCCGAGCUUCCCGUGCUUGGAGUCAGCCUUGCAGUCUCAGUGAGCCCACGCCUACACAAACCAGAGCAAGUUCCGCAGGGAGAUGGGCACGGCUCCGCUCCCAGCUCUGGCUUCCAGGCUCAAGACUCUUUUUCUUCUUGAGGGAAAAACAGGGUGUGUGCUGGAGAGAAGGUUGGACCUAG
RNAcentral lists this long non-coding RNA (818 nucleotides) under Numida meleagris (helmeted guineafowl). RNAcentral's name for it is "lncRNA (ENSNMEG00000018734.1)". The record is from RNAcentral. Lineage: Eukaryota; Metazoa; Chordata; Aves; Galliformes; Numididae.